AAGGGGGGCGUUUACCACGGUAUGAUUCAUGACUGGGGUGAAGUCGUAACAAGGUAACCGUAGGGGAACCUGCGGUUGGAUCACCUCCUUACCAAAGA
Molecule: ribosomal RNA, 98 nt
Rfam family: Bacterial small subunit ribosomal RNA